Long non-coding RNA from Hippocampus comes (tiger tail seahorse), 2499 nucleotides. RefSeq lists it as uncharacterized. The record is from RefSeq and is a predicted model, not a curated record. NCBI's taxonomy places the organism in Eukaryota, Metazoa, Chordata, Actinopteri, Syngnathiformes, Syngnathidae. The transcript is spliced from 2 exons.
GGCUCCAGCUCCCCCCGCGACCCUUGUGAGGAUAAAGCGGAUCCAAAAAUGGAUGGAUGGAUAAUGCGCUCGGCGUGAAAGGGGCUCGAGUGACCCACGCUCUCGUCAGCACACACAACCCCGUGCAACCCCGACAACCACUGCCCUUGGGAAAAUCCUCAACCCCCUUGGAAAACCCUUGCUCUCCACGUUGAGCUUUGAAGGCCGCCCUCUCCUCUUACCCUGGACGCUUCCUUCCUGCGAAACCCGUCUGGCAUCGACUUGCCAAUCUGGCCCAAAAAGGGAUCUGUUCACAACUUGAAGUGCUUCUCGGGGCUUCCAGAGCAGCUGCGCAGAAUCAGGAAGCGGGCCCGGGGAACCAGGGAAGGGCGGCCGGAAGGCGGUCGCCAGGUGGCACGUCCCCCCGGUGAAUCUCUGUUGGAGACCAUCAUAUCUCUCUGUCCAGGCGGGGGUCGCCGCGGCGUGGAGGUGAAACUCAGGCUCCCGGGGCGGGGGUUGCCCCUCUUUAGCGAAUGAUACCAAAGUCUACGCCCCGCCCCCAGAGAAUGCGGCGCUCCCGCUUCCUGACGUCCGCUCCACGCCGCUUCACCUCUGCCAGACUUUGGCAGCUUCAUUCCUGAAUGUGAACAUUUCCUCUCUUCAACUGUUUGCCGCCGUUAGUGUAGAAAAGCACAAAACUGAUUUUUAUUUAUUUUUUUUAAAACAACUUUGAAUGUCGCUCAUUUUUAUUUUCAGGCUAGCUUUCGCACUUUGCUACUGUUCUUUAGUCUUAUGUUAAGAUCAUGGUUUCUUUAAAUUUUGAAUCUUGGACUUUUGCUUUAAAAGGCUAAAGUAGGUGCUUUCAAUAUGAUUAAAAGUGUUUCAGAAAAGGAAUGAAACUGCUGGGAGGUGAUAUCAGCGAACUCGCAUUCCGCUACGUUGCCCUCCGACUUCUGUCAUCACUUUUCUUCUCUCUGUCCUUCUGUCUUCUUUCAAUGCAACUUUCGUCCAAAGCUUUUUCUCGCAGCCACGCAUUCCCAAAACAAGUCCCGCGUUUCAAAGAAUCAAACCAAAGAGCUCAAACUUUCUUGAUUCCGCUCUCAAAUCAUGUCACCUAGCGACCUGCCGCUCUUUUACAACCUCAGCUAUCCAAAGGGAAAUAAUGAAGAUAAUGAUGAUGAAAUGUAUAUUUUUGAGUAUUUGUCAUUGGGGGGGAAAAAAUAAUCUGAGUUAGGAUUAUCUUGACGACGAUAAUAAUGAAGUUUCUCUUGGUAUCUUUGUAGUUGUUCCGACCCUUCUUGAGUUCUUGUCCUUUUUCUGCCAAAGUAUACCCCCACCUUCCCCCGCCCCCUUUGGCCCCGAUGUUUACUCCCCACGGUAUAUUUGAGUGUGUGUUGGCGCGUUUGUUGAGGGGUUUCUCUGGGAGUGAUCACUUGCCAACUUCCUCGUUCAUGUAGCUUUAUUUUCCCCUGUCAGUCUGCGGCGGAUGUGUUUGAACGUAUGGAUGAUAUUAUGCCCCUUGACUUCCUAUUGUGACUUCCAUCAUGUGAGCCCCCCCCCCAAACCCUCGUAGUAGCGAUUUUUUUUUUGUGUUUAACUCGAACCCCCCGCCCCCCAAAAAAAAAACAAAAACAAAGAAUACUCUGCUUGUUCAUUGUACAGUGUUGUUCAUUUUAAGUCAUUUUUGUAACUGAACGUGUUUCAUUCAUCCAAAUAAAAACAGGAGACAAAAACUAUACAGGUGCCCCUCCCCACUGCUUCUUCCGACAGCACCAAAGCCUGUAGGGACACAAUUGCGCCGCCAGAUGGCGCCAAAGGAUUUAUGAAUGGCAGAAAGACAACGUGAGACCAUGGGAGAAAAUGGACUCGCAUAGAAUGGAGUGGAAAUUUCAGGGGGACCGGAAGGUGUGUUCCCAUCCCCGGUAAAAUGUAUUGAGUGGGACUCGAGAGAGAGAGAAAGGAUUUAUCGUCGACCGCGCGUCGGGAAAGAAAUCCUGCCCCAAGUGAAAGGGAGGAUCUAGCCAAAAGAUCGGCAGGUGUAUCGGUGCGGCAUCUGCAAUGAGGCGAACUAUAUCGGACCAUCGUGGUGAAGAGGAAGCCGACCUUCCCUGCUCAAGUUACCGCCUCCGAGACCCGACCUCGGAUGGAUGAUGUCGGAAUCUUGAUCUGGAAAUACUCAAAGGGAAAAUGUUUUCCUGCCCGUUCUCAAAAGUAGAGUCAAGCAGAUAAUUGCCAUUGCAACUGAGCUGUCCCCAACUCCAAAGUCUAUCGAACCAAAAAGUGUGUGAGACUCCAACUUCAAAAGUGAAUCUCUUUGUUGACAAACAAGCGGGUAAUUAAAACUCUUGCCUAUUUGACGAUUUAAUAUCACUACAACAUACAUUUGCAUACAAGCGAGCCGAGCAGACACAAACACAUGAGAGCGUUUGUUUUGGCUUUUAACGGUUUUUAAUUAACCCUGAUUACAGCGUAAUUACAACUUUUGGGGAGGGAAGGGAGGAGCGGCUGGAGAAAAAAAAA